UGGGGAAUAUUGGACAAUGGGCGCAAGCCUGAUCCAGCAAUACCGCGUGAGUGAUGAAGGUCUUCGGAUUGUAAAGCUCUUUUAGUAGGGAAGAUAAUGACGGUACCUACAGAAAAAGCACCGGCAAACUUCGUGCCAGCAGCCGCGGUAAUACGAAGGGUGCUAGCGUUGUUCGGAAUUAUUGGGCGUAAAGCGUACGUAGGCGGCUUGAUAAGUCGAGUGUGAAAGCCCAGAGCUCAACUUUGGAAUUGCAAUCGAAACUGUCUCGCUAGAGUUUGGUGGGGGAUGGCAGAAUUUCUAGUGUAGGGGUGAAAUCCGUAGAUAUUAGAAGGAAUACCAGUGGCGAAGGCGGCCAUCUAUGCCAAUACUGACGCUAAGGUACGAAAGCGUGGGGAGCAAACAGG
Molecule: ribosomal RNA, 404 nt
Filed under: uncultured bacterium
Lineage: Bacteria
Description: bacterial SSU rRNA
Rfam family: Bacterial small subunit ribosomal RNA
Source: RNAcentral